Molecule: ribosomal RNA, 465 nt
Filed under: uncultured bacterium
Lineage: Bacteria
Description: partial 16S ribosomal RNA
Rfam family: Bacterial small subunit ribosomal RNA
Source: RNAcentral
GACGAACGCUGGCGGCGUGCUUAACACAUGCAAGUCGAACGGAAAGGCCCUGCUUGCAGGGUACUCGAGUGGCGAACGGGUGAGUAACACGUGGGUGAUCUGCCCUGCACUUCGGGAUAAGCCUGGGAAACUGGGUCUAAUACCGGAUAGGAGCCAUUUUGAGUGUGAUGGUUGGAAAGUUUUUUCGGUGUAGGAUGAGCUCGCGGCCUAUCAGCUUGUUGGUGGGGUAAUGGCCUACCAAGGCGGCGUCGGGUAGCCGGCCUGAGAGGGUGGACGGCCACAUUGGGACUGAGAUACGGCCCAGACUCCUACGGGAGGCAGCAGUGGGGAAUAUUGCACAAUGGGCGCAAGCCUGAUGCAGCGACGCCGCGUGGGGGAUGACGGCCUUCGGGUUGUAAACUCCUUUCGCUAGGGACGAAGCUUUUUGUGACGGUACCUAGAUAAGAAGCACCGGCUAACUACGUG